RNAcentral lists this ribosomal RNA (621 nucleotides) under uncultured fungus. RNAcentral's name for it is "eukaryotic LSU rRNA". The stretch from base 250 to 403 matches the Rfam family "5.8S ribosomal RNA". Lineage: Eukaryota; Fungi. The record is from RNAcentral.
CUUGGUCAUUUAGAGGAAGUAAAAGUCGUAACAAGGUUUCCGUAGGUGAACCUGCGGAAGGAUCAUUAAAGAGUAAGGGUGCUCAGCGCCCGACCUCCAACCCUUUGUUGUUAAAACUACCUUGUUGCUUUGGCGGGACCGCUCGGUCUCGAGCCGCUGGGGAUUCGUCCCAGGCGAGCGCCCGCCAGAGUUAAACCAAACUCUUGUUAAUUAAACCGGUCGUCUGAGUUAAAAUUUUGAAUAAAUCAAAACUUUCAACAACGGAUCUCUUGGUUCUCGCAUCGAUGAAGAACGCAGCGAAAUGCGAUAAGUAAUGUGAAUUGCAGAAUUCAGUGAAUCAUCGAAUCUUUGAACGCACAUUGCGCCCCUUGGUAUUCCGAGGGGCAUGCCUGUUCGAGCGUCAUUACACCACUCAAGCUAUGCUUGGUAUUGGGUGCCGUCCUUAGUUGGGCGCGCCUUAAAGACCUCGGCGAGGCCUCACCGGCUUUAGGCGUAGUAGAAUUUAUUCGAACGUCUGUCAAAGGAGAGGACUUCUGCCGACUGAAACCUUUUAUUUUUCUAGGUUGACCUCGGAUCAGGUAGGGAUACCCGCUGAACUUAAGCAUAUCAAUAAGCGGAGGA